UUUGCAAAAAUCUAGACUGAUGUCCCAAACUUCAUUUUUAAAGUUAUCCCACAGUAUACCUAAAUUUUCUGUUGUUUUUUCCUUGUUUUCGUAAUAUUUUAUUAGUUUUUCUAUAUUACAACAGUAGUCUCUAUCAUUCAGUAUUGAUGAGUUUAAUUUCCAGUAUCCUUUUUCCUUUUGUUUACUUUUUGAGUUCUGAUUUUUAAUGAAAUACCGUUAUGGUCUGUUGAUUUUAAUAUAAUAGGCCUUAUAUCUGCUUUGACCAUUUGUGAUUUACAUUCUUUACUUACAAGGAAGAAGUCGAUUCUAGUUGCUUCUAAUCUCCUAUUUUCUCACGCCACGUAUAUUGAAUUUGUGUUGGGUUUUUAUCUCUCCAUAUAUCUAUGAAUUUGAAACAUUUUAUGAGCGUAUU
RNAcentral lists this long non-coding RNA (412 nucleotides) under Mytilus galloprovincialis (Mediterranean mussel). Lineage: Eukaryota; Metazoa; Mollusca; Bivalvia; Mytilida; Mytilidae. The record is from RNAcentral.